CUAAUACAUGCUGAAAACCCCAACUUCGGGAGGGGUGUAUUUAUUAGAUAAAAAACCAAUGCCCUUCGGGGCUCUUUGGUGAUUCAUGAUAACUUAACGGAUCGCAUGGCCUUGCGCCGGCGACGGUUCAUUCAAAUUUCUGCCCUAUCAACUUUCGAUGGUAAGGUAUUGGCUUACCAUGGUUUCAACGGGUAACGGGGAAUUAGGGUUCGAUUCCGGAGAGGGAGCCUGAGAAACGGCUACCACAUCCAAGGAAGGCAGCAGGCGCGCAAAUUACCCAAUCCCGACACGGGGAGGUAGUGACAAUAAAUACUGAUACAGGGCUCUUUUGGGUCUUGUAAUCGGAAUGAGUACAAUUUAAACCUCUUAACGAGGAACAAUUGGAGGGCAAGUCUGGUGCCAGCAGCCGCGGUAAUUCCAGCUCCAAUAGCGUAUAUUAAAGUUGUUGCAGUUAAAAAGCUCGUAGUUGAACCUUGGGCCUGGCUGGCUGGUCCGCCUCACCGCGUGUACUGGUCCGGCCGGGCCUUUCCUUCUGGAGAUCCCCAUGCCCUUUACUGGGUGUGUGGGGGAACCAGGACUUUUACUUUGAAAAAAUUAGAGUGUUCAAAGCAGGCCUUUGCUCGAAUACGUUAGCAUGGAAUAAUAGAAUAGGACGUGCGGUCCUAUUUUGUUGGUUUCUAGGAUCGCCGUAAUGAUUAAUAGGGAUAGUCGGGGGCAUCAGUAUUCAAUUGUCAGAGGUGAAAUUCUUGGAUUUAUUGAAGACUA
RNAcentral lists this ribosomal RNA (765 nucleotides) under Pseudotrichia rubriostiolata. RNAcentral describes it as "SSU rRNA". It matches the Rfam family "Eukaryotic small subunit ribosomal RNA", at positions 164 to 938 of the family's 1831-position model. Lineage: Eukaryota; Fungi; Ascomycota; Dothideomycetes; Pleosporales; Melanommataceae. The record is from RNAcentral.